AAAAAGGCAAACCCUUGAUUUCUGUACCAACGUUUGACUGUCCGUUUUAUAUGAAAUAUUUUUAUAAUUAGUAUUUUUAUUGUUGUUAGAUGAUAAAACAUGAUUAAUACUUUAUGCGUGACUUAUUUUUUAAUUUUUUCAUAUUUUUUUUUCAAAUAAGACGGACGGUCAAACGUUGGACACGGAAACCAGGGUUUGUCUUUUU
This is a non-coding RNA of Oryza barthii, 205 nucleotides long. Lineage: Eukaryota; Viridiplantae; Streptophyta; Magnoliopsida; Poales; Poaceae. The record is from Rfam.